UACGAAGGGGGCUAGCGUUGCUCGGAAUCACUGGGCGUAAAGGGUGCGUAGGCGGGUCUUUAAGUCAGGGGUGAAAUCCUGGAGCUCAACUCCAGAACUGCCUUUGAUACUGAGGAUCUUGAGUUCGGGAGAGGUGAGUGGAACUGCGAGUGUAGAGGUGAAAUUCGUAGAUAUUCGCAAGAACACCAGUGGCGAAGGCGGCUCACUGGCCCAAUACUGACGCUGAGGCACGAAAGCGUGGGGAGCAAACAGG
Molecule: ribosomal RNA, 253 nt
Filed under: uncultured bacterium
Lineage: Bacteria
Description: partial 16S ribosomal RNA
Rfam family: Bacterial small subunit ribosomal RNA
Source: RNAcentral